This 378-nucleotide long non-coding RNA is filed under the name Homo sapiens (human). RNAcentral describes it as "non-protein coding lnc-ANKRD20A4-2:1". The record is from RNAcentral. Lineage: Eukaryota; Metazoa; Chordata; Mammalia; Primates; Hominidae.
AUGUGGUCACUCCCUGGGGGACUGCUGUCAGGCCUAGCCACCCACCCUUGGCAGCACUGUCCCAUCUCAGGACUGGACUUUCUCAGAUCCUGCAGAGGGCACAGCCUCCAGCCCAGGAGGGGCAGCCCCUUGGUGCAGCCCAAGCUCUCCAUGGGCCUGGAGCAUCCCUGCCAGCCCUGCGCUCCCUCUACUCCCAGGUCCCGCUUUUCAAGUGUCAGCCAGCAGAGAGGCUCCGUCCUCCCUUCCCUUUGUGUCUCCUGGGCUAAAACUUGGGGCGCAUUGGGACAGGGAUGGUGCUUUCCUCAGGCCCAUUUAGGGAGGGGACUGGCUCCCAGCCUGGCACAGGUCCUCAGCUCUGCCUUGGUUGCCUUAGAGUGA